RNAcentral lists this ribosomal RNA (465 nucleotides) under Vreelandella stevensii. RNAcentral's name for it is "partial 16S ribosomal RNA". It matches the Rfam family "Bacterial small subunit ribosomal RNA", at positions 338 to 795 of the family's 1533-position model. Lineage: Bacteria; Pseudomonadati; Pseudomonadota; Gammaproteobacteria; Oceanospirillales; Halomonadaceae. The record is from RNAcentral.
CCUACGGGUGGCAGCAGUGGGGAAUAUUGGACAAUGGGGGCAACCCUGAUCCAGCCAUGCCGCGUGUGUGAAGAAGGCCCUCGGGUUGUAAAGCACUUUCAGUGAGGAAGAACGCCUGGUGGUUAAUACCCAUCAGGAAAGACAUCACUCACAGAAGAAGCACCGGCUAACUCCGUGCCAGCAGCCGCGGUAAUACGGAGGGUGCGAGCGUUAAUCGGAAUUACUGGGCGUAAAGCGCGCGUAGGUGGCUUGAUAAGCCGGUUGUGAAAGCCCCGGGCGCAACCUGGGAACGGCAUCCGGAACUGUCAAGCUAGAGUGCAGGAGAGGAAGGUAGAAUUCCCGGUGUAGCGGUGAAAUGCGUAGAGAUCGGGAGGAAUACCAGUGGCGAAGGCGGCCUUCUGGACUGACACUGACACUGAGGUGCGAAAGCGUGGGUAGCAAACAGGAUUAGAUACCCGAGUAGUC